This 523-nucleotide ribosomal RNA is filed under the name uncultured bacterium. RNAcentral describes it as "bacterial SSU rRNA". It matches the Rfam family "Bacterial small subunit ribosomal RNA", at positions 40 to 524 of the family's 1533-position model. The record is from RNAcentral.
CGGCGUGCCUAAUCAUGCAAGUCGAGCGAGUCUGCCUUGAAGAUCGGAGUGCUUGCACUCUGUGAGACAAGAUACAGGCUAGCGGCGGACGGGUGAGUAACACGUGGGUAACCUGCCCAAGAGAUCGGGAUAACACCUGGAAACAGAUGCUAAUACCGGAUAACAACAGAUGAUGCCUAUCAACUGUUUAAAAGAUGGUUCUGCUAUCACUCUUGGAUGGACCUGCGGUGCAUUAGCUAGUUGGUAGGGUAACGGCCUACCAAGGCGAUGAUGCAUAGCCGAGUUGAGAGACUGAUCGGCCACAUUGGGACUGAGACACGGCCCAAACUCCUACGGGAGGCAGCAGUAGGGAAUCUUCCACAAUGGACGCAAGUCUGAUGGAGCAACGCCGCGUGAGUGAAGAAGGGUUUCGGCUCGUAAAGCUCUGUUGUUGGUGAAGAAGGACAGGGGUAGUAACUGACCUUUGUUUGACGGUAAUCAAUUAGAACGUCACGGCUAACUACGUGCCAGCAGCCGCGGUAAU